RNAcentral lists this ribosomal RNA (561 nucleotides) under uncultured bacterium. RNAcentral's name for it is "bacterial SSU rRNA". It matches the Rfam family "Bacterial small subunit ribosomal RNA", at positions 338 to 916 of the family's 1533-position model. The record is from RNAcentral.
CCUACGGGAGGCAGCAGUGGGGAAUCUUGCGCAAUGGGCGAAAGCCUGACGCAGCCAUGCCGCGUGAAUGAUGAAGGUCUUAGGAUUGUAAAAUUCUUUCACCGAGGACGAUAAUGACGGUACUCGGAGAAGAAGCCCCGGCUAACUUCGUGCCAGCAGCCGCGGUAAUACGAAGGGGGCUAGCGUUGCUCGGAAUUACUGGGCGUAAAGGGAGCGUAGGCGGAUAGUUUAGUCAGAGGUGAAAGCCCAGGGCUCAACCUUGGAAUUGCCUUUGAUACUGGCUAUCUUGAGUACGGAAGAGGUAUGUGGAACUCCGAGUGUAGAGGUGAAAUUCGUAGAUAUUCGGAAGAACACCAGUGGCGAAGGCGACAUACUGGUCCGUUACUGACGCUGAGGCUCGAAAGCGUGGGGAGCAAACAGGAUUAGAUACCCUGGUAGUCCACGCUGUAAACGAUGAGUGCUAGUUGUCGGCAUGCAUGCAUGUCGGUGACGCAGCUAACGCAUUAAGCACUCCGCCUGGGGAGUACGGUCGCAAGAUUAAAACGUCAAAGGAAUUGACGG